RNAcentral lists this ribosomal RNA (252 nucleotides) under uncultured bacterium. RNAcentral describes it as "partial 16S ribosomal RNA". It matches the Rfam family "Bacterial small subunit ribosomal RNA", at positions 526 to 779 of the family's 1533-position model. The record is from RNAcentral.
CGUAGGGUGCAAGCGUUGUCCGGAAUUAUUGGGCGUAAAGAGCUCGUAGGCGGCUUGUCGCGUCUGCUGUGAAACCAGAGGCUCAACCUCUGGCCUGCAGUGGGUACGGGCAAGCUAGAGUGCGGUAGGGAGAUUGGAAUUCCUGGUGUAGCGGUGGAAUGCGCAGAUAUCAGGAGGAACACCGAUGGCGAAGGCAGAUCUCUGGGGCCGUAACUGACGCUGAGGAGCGAAAGCAUGGGAGCGAACAGGAUU